UACGAAGGGGGCUAGCGUUGUUCGGAUUUACUGGGCGUAAAGCGCACGUAGGCGGACUACUAAGUCAGGGGUGAAAUCCCGGGGCUCAACCCCGGAACUGCCUUUGUUACUGGUAGUCUUGAGUUCGAGAGAGGUGAGUGGAAUUCCGAGUGUAGAGGUGAAAUUCGUAGAUAUUCGGAGGAACACCAGUGGCGAAGGCGGCUCACUGGCUCGAUACUGACGCUGAGGUGCGAAAGCGUGGGGAGCAAACAGG
This 253-nucleotide ribosomal RNA is filed under the name uncultured bacterium. RNAcentral's name for it is "partial 16S ribosomal RNA". It matches the Rfam family "Bacterial small subunit ribosomal RNA", at positions 524 to 776 of the family's 1533-position model. The record is from RNAcentral.